AGAGUUUGAUCCUGGCUCAGGAUGAACGCUAGCUACAGGCUUAACACAUGCAAGUCGAGGGGCAGCAUGGUCUUAGCUUGCUAAGGCCGAUGGCGACCGGCGCACGGGUGAGUAACACGUAUCCAACCUGCCGAUAACUCGGGGAUAGCCUUUCGAAAGAAAGAUUAAUACCCGAUAGUAUAAUCAGACCGCAUGGUUUGAUUAUUAAAGAAUUUCGGUUAUCGAUGGGGAUGCGUUCCAUUAGGCAGUUGGUGAGGUAACGGCUCACCAAACCUUCGAUGGAUAGGGGUUCUGAGAGGAAGGUCCCCCACAUUGGAACUGAGACACGGUCCAAACUCCUACGGGAGGCAGCA
Molecule: ribosomal RNA, 353 nt
Filed under: uncultured bacterium
Lineage: Bacteria
Description: bacterial SSU rRNA
Rfam family: Bacterial small subunit ribosomal RNA
Source: RNAcentral